GAAACUUUUAGAGUACAAAAGUAUGCAAGCACACUUUCUGUUUAUUGUCAACACAAUGAUAUAAUUUGUAGUUAUUAAAAAGGAAUUGUUAUGACCUUGCAGACCCCUACAGUGAUCUCAUGGAUCCCCAGGAGUCUCCAGAUACAUUUUGAACAUCGGUCAUCAAGUCCAAACUUCUCAAUGUGCUGUCUGGAGAUGAAACAUCAUUCAAUAGACAACGAGGAGAAAGAAAGGAGGACGAGGCUAAAGAUCAGAAACGCUGACCCUGACAUUCCUGAGCUACUGAACCAGCUUCAAAAGUCAUUGAUUUCUAGACUUUCUGGUAAUUCAUCCUGUGCUUGGAUGUCUCAGGGAUGUGCUCAAAUGUGUCCCAGCCAAAGGAAGUUAUUGGAGUACUCACCAAUGGAAAUCCAACAAAUGAAUUCAUUGCAAUAAAAAUGUCAAGACUUGGAAAGAUCUAUCGUAAGUUCCUAUAACUACCCACAGGUGGUCAUCGCCAAGAAGUAUUCCCUAUCUCUCAGGAAAAUGUUCAGAACUGAGAUGACUCAAGCUUUGCCCCUCCUUCUUCCACUGAAAUAAUAAAGUAUUUAAGUAGCAUCUUUUCUGAACCUUUCAGUAUUAAUACACAAAGUCCACAACCAUCCAAAAUUUGGAACUCAGAAAUUAACACUGUCACAAAUGAAAAAAAAUUAAGCCUUCGAGAUUUCAGUUUUUUUCAAUGGCCUUGAUUGGCUGUAUUUUUUUUUUUUUUUUUUUGCUUCAAAGUUUACAUUUUUUUAACUUCUAUUUUAAUUUCUGGAUACAUGUGCAGGUUUGUGAUAUAGGUAAACUUGUGUCACAGGGGUUGUUGCACAUAUUGUUUAAUCACCCAAGUAUUAAGCCUAGUAUCCAUUAGUUAUUUUUUCUGAUCCUCUCCCUCCUCCCAACUUCCAACAUUUUAUAUGAUUCAGUAUCUAUUGUAUCCCUUUUUGUGCCCAUAUGUUCUCAUCAUUUAAUUCCUACUUAUAAGUGGGAACAUGAAGAAUUUGGUUUUCUGUUCCCAUGUUAGUUUUCUAAGGAUAAUGGCUUCCAGCUCCAUCUAUGUUCCUGUAAAGGAUAUGAUUUCACUCUUUUUUAUGGCUGCAUAGUAUUACAUGGUGUAUAUGUACCACAUUUUCUUUAUCCAAUCUCACAUUGAUGGGCAUUUGGGUUGAUUCCAUAUCUUUGCUAUUGUGUAUAGUGCUGCAAUAAACAUGAGCAUGCAUGUGUCUUUAUGAUAGAACAAUUUAUAUUCAUUUGGGUAUAUACCUAGUAAUGGGAUUGCUAGGUUGAAUUGUAUUUCUGUUUUUAGGUCUUUGAGGAAUUGCAACACUGUUUCUACAAUGGUUAAACUAAUUUACACUCCCACCAACAGUGUAUAAGUAUUGCAUUUUCUUUGAUAUCUUGCAGGCACCUGCUAUUUUCUGACUUUUUAAUAGUAGCCAUUCUGACUGGUGUGAGAUGGUGUCUCAUUGCAUUCUUGAUUUGCAUUUCUCUAAUGAUCAAUAAUGUUAAGCUUUUUCUCACAUGCUUGGUGGUCACACACAUGUCUUCUUCUGAAAUGUAUCUGUUCAUGUCUGUUGCCCACUUUUUAAUGGGGUUGAUUUUUCUUGUAAAUUUAUUUAAGUUCCUUAUAAAUGCUGGAUAUUAGACCCUUGUCAGAUACAUAUUUUGCAAAAUUUUUCUCUCAUUCUGUAAGUUGUCUGUUUACUCUGUUGAUAGUUCCUUUUGCUGUGCGGAGCUGUUUAGUUUAAUUAAAUCCCAUUUGUCAAGUUUUGCUUUUGUUGCACUUGUUUUUGGCUUCUUUGUCAUGAAAUAUUUGCCCAUUCCUAUGUCCCAAAUGGUAUUGCCUAGUUUGUCUCCCAGGAUUUUACAGUUUUGGAUUUCACAUUUACGUCUUUAAUCUGUCUUGUGUUAAUUUUUGUAUAUGGGAUAAUGAAGGGGUCCAUUUUCAAUCUUCUGCAUAUGGCUAGCCAGUUAUUCCAGUACCAUUUAUUGAAAAAGGAGUCCUUUUCCCAUUGCUUGUUUUUGUUGACUUUGUCAAAGAUUAGAUAGUUGUAGGUGUGUAGCCUUAUUUCAUAUCUCUCUAUUCUGUUUAAUUGGUCUAUGUGUCUGUUUUUGUACCAAUACUAUGCUGUUUUGGUUAUUGUAGUCCUGUAGUAUAGUCUUCUAAAACUAUAUGCAUCUAACAUUUGUAGUUUCCAAACCCAUGGCUCUCCAAGACUUAUAUAGGCCAAAAGUCAUUUGUGAAAAUCACAAGUCAACUACCAUCAUUCAUGUGUACUAAUCACUGUUUUCAACAUUGUAUAAUUUAUUCCCUCAUUCUGAAAGCUGAGAAUUUCAUAGCUUAUUAUUACAUUGUCUAAAUUUACAGAAUUAACUUUGAGACAAAUGAUGCUAUUUUAAUACAAAGGAAGGAAAACCUGAGCAAUUUUUCCAUGUAGAAAUAGAAAAUGGAAUAAAGCUAGCAUAACCUUGAGCCCCAUCCCCUUUCCCAUGUAAGGUGCAGUCUGGAUGCCGUCAUUGAUCUUUAGAAGGAAGACUUUUUCCUGUCAAGGACCGAUUCUGAAUUCUAG
This is a long non-coding RNA of Macaca mulatta (Rhesus monkey), 2594 nucleotides long. NCBI's taxonomy places the organism in Eukaryota, Metazoa, Chordata, Mammalia, Primates, Cercopithecidae. The record is from Ensembl.